CUAGGAUUGAGAUGACAUGUGGGCAGCCUUGCCCGGCUUUACAGUUUUGAUCUUGGUUCUUCCAGGUUCUUCAAAUAGAUCCUGAAGUGACAGAUGAAGAAAUAAAAAAGAGGUUCCGCCAGUUGUCUAUCUUGGUGCAUCCUGACAAAAACCAGGACGAUGCUGACAGAGCACAGAAGGCUUUUGAAGGUAUUUGUACAUUUACCUAUGUUUGAGUAAUAGAGCUGUCGAUGCUAAGGAAUAACUGGUUAUAAAGAGCUGUGGAUUUCAGUAAAGCAGCCAUUUAAGCAGAGUGUUUCCUCGGGGGCUGGGUGUGUAGCUCAGUGCUUGCCUAGCUAGCAUGCUUAAGGCCCUGGGUCCAGUCCCCAGCACUGCACAGAAAGUGCAGUGACCUUGCUCUGUUAAAACUUUUGUGCCUACCAAUAUACUUCUAUUGCUUAGGUUCUUUUUUCUUUGCUAAACGUAAGUGGGAAAUACUUUAUCAAUGUCUUAAGUCUAGAUAUGGUAUUUUAGCCUUGACCGUAUAUUUAAUGAUUUUUCCUAAGACUUUCAAGGUCAUUGCUAUGGUUGUAUGCCUUUUUUAAAAAAUGGGUUUAACAAAGGUAAAUAAUUUAACAAAGUAGGGAAUGUUUUUAGACAGUGCAGAUCCAUUUGCACUGCUGAGUACAGCUCAGACUUUGAGAGGGUAUUUGCAGAAACAGUUAACUUCAAUGUUU
Molecule: long non-coding RNA, 716 nt
Filed under: Rattus norvegicus (Norway rat)
Lineage: Eukaryota; Metazoa; Chordata; Mammalia; Rodentia; Muridae
Description: long non-coding RNA NONRATT022695
Source: RNAcentral